Molecule: long non-coding RNA, 2432 nt
Organism: Danio aesculapii
Lineage: Eukaryota; Metazoa; Chordata; Actinopteri; Cypriniformes; Danionidae
Exons: 3
Source: RefSeq, a predicted model, not a curated record
CAAAUUCUUAAAUCAAGCAGCAUUAAUAAACAUUAAAAAUAAACAGUUUUGUUUUGGGAAAUAAGAUGUCCAAAUUAAGUCAGUGCCAGCGGCGCAAGUAAAAUAAUCUUGUUUUGGUUUGAAAUAAAAUUUUCAAGGGGAAUUUUUUACUUGCUUAGAAUGUGCUUCUUGGUUUAAGAAUUUUUGGAUACUAGGACCAAAACCUGUCAUCAACUUUUAUCAUCAACCCAAGUAAAGUCAUAUAAAGAAUUGUUGAAAUCUUUAAUAUAAGCAACAUUAAUCAUGAUACAUGCCUUAGAAAGAACAUGUUCCCCUUUUUUAAACUCAGAGCCACUUGAUGGAAAGUAGAAUUUCUCAAUUAUGAGCUUUAUAAAAAAGAUGAUUACUUCUCAGCUGACAUCCUUAUUACUUGCCGCUAUCCAUCAAACCACAAGAAUUCACCAUUUUAAUCCAUCUAAAAACCUUUUGUGCAGGUUAAGAGUUAAGAAAUUAGUACUUUCAUUGUGCUUACAAGAGACAGUAAAGACAUGUAAAAGUGGAAAAAAAAAAAGGUUUGAACAAUGGACCUUUUGGGUUAGUUUGCACGAAAAUAUAAAAGUAGAACAGCUGUUUUUAAACAUGAUAUUAGCAACAACAUGAUUCACAUGAGCACUGAAUCAGCAUAUUCAGAUUCUGUCUGAAGCAUCACAUGACACUAACUGGGUCUCCAUCACUCUGCAUUAUAGCGCACUUUGAAGUAUCUCAUGAGAAAUGAGUGACGUGGAUGCCACAUUUAGAAUAAAAAUUACUUCAUUAAACAAACCUGUUUUUACAUUAAUUUGAGCUGGUUUUGAACUAAUUUGAUUGUGAAUAAUGGGAGAUGGAAAUGCAUUUGCCAAAUAAACUCUGACAUGGUAAACAUUACACCCAUGUGACCAAUCAGAUGUCUCCACUAUGCUUGCUUUGUUUACAUUUUUUUUUUUUUAGGUUACCAAUACUACAGUCAGCCACUCUACCAACCUGAUGUAAAUGUACCAAAUACUUAAUUGGGAUUUUCUUUGUGCCAACACUUCAAAACAUUAUUAAAUUAAAAAAAAAAAAACACACAAAAAAAAGGUCACAUUAGGAUGGAAACCCAGCUACUGAAGCGAUGAUCAUACCAAUAAAAAGAUUCUUCAUUGGAUUUACAAAAAAAAAUAAGGUGUUUGCAAACCAUUUAUGUAGGCUGAAUUUAAACAAAUUAAAUUUAGUAAUGCAGAACUUAAUUUGUUUGUUUAAAUUCACCCCAUAUAAAUUCUUUGCAACCACUUACCUUAACAAAAUUGUAAAUCUAACAAAGUUUUUUUUUUUCUGUGUAGGAAUUUUCUGCUUACAAUAUAAUGUGUCUGCCAGAGGUGUCACUGUCCAGGAGAGUUUAGAUAUGGAAAAGACAGGUGUGGCUUCCUGGUUUCCCUUGGGAUGAAAUUAUGGAGAGGAAGGGGAGGGUGAAGGGAUGACAGGAACUGUCGGAAUGACUGAGGGCAGCUCAUCCCCCAGAGACGUCUUUCUCCCACAAUGCCCUGACCCUGAGAUCUAUGUGUGGAAUUCUCUGCUCAUUUAUCAGUGUGGGCCUGCUCCUCUCCCUGUGUGCUCUAAUUUUUUCACAGUCCCGAUCCUGGUACUGUUGCACCCCAAACUACAUCUGUGUAAACCUCAGACUCACACACAACCGAGCAAACCUACAGCUGUGGAAAAAUACUAAAAUAAGAGACCACUUGUCUUGAAAAAAGUUAUGCGUUUUUCUCUUCAAAUUUAACACAACACAAAAACUUAACUAUUUAAAUUAAUUAAAAGCUGUACUUUUUAAAUUUUAAGUGUUAAGUACUUAAGUACUUUCAGCCUGAUAUGUUUUUGAGUACUUUUUUCCAGUUUUUUUCUGCUCCUUAUAGUACUAGUAUUAAUUUUUGUUCAUUUUUAAUUAUCAAUAUUAAUGUAAUUUGUAGUUUUAGUUUAAUCUGACAUUUAUUUCAUUAUUUCAUUUAUGUAUUCAUUAUAAGUAUUAUUUUAGAAUUAAACCAUUUAUUUUUUAUUAUUCUGUAAAGCUUUUUCUCUAAACAUUUCAACUGACCCCAGCAUAUUGUGGCCCCCUGAUUAUUAAAGUAUGCAUAAUACCACUGUCAACAAGUUUAAUCUAUGAAUUAGUUGUUUUAUCAGCUAUUAAGCAUUUUUACUCAUAAUUAAAAUAACAAACACAGGCAUGAGAACAGUUGAUCAGCUCCCUCUUGUGGACAAUAAGUGAAUGUGUAAGCAGCCGUUGUAUCUGAUCCUGAUUUUAACCUGAUUGAGAACACCUGAAGCAGCUGAUGGAGCUCUACAGCACAGGUUUAAUGCUACUGAUUUGCAUAAACAGAUUGUGUUGUUUACAAGUUUGCAUUUGAAAUGUGAAAUAUUAAUAAAGAUCUUAAUGACCCUCA